UACCCCCGCAUGGGCCCCAAGAGGGAGCUCAAGUUUGCCCUGGAGUCUUUCUGGGAUGGGAAGAGCAGCGCUGAGGAUUUGGAGAAGGUUGCGACCGACCUCAGGGCCAGCAUCUGGAAGCAAAUGGCUGACGCUGGGAUCAAGUACAUCCCCAGCAACACCUUCUCGUACUAUGAUCAGGUUCUUGACACGGCUGCCAUGCUUGGUGCUGUCCCAGAGCGCUACUCAUGGACUGGUGGAGAGAUUGGGUUCAGCACCUACUUCUCGAUGGCUAGGGGCAAUGCCACUGUCCCUGCCAUGGAGAUGACCAAGUGGUUUGACACCAACUAGUAAGUCCUUUGCUUCCAUUUAAGCUGUCUGACAGUAACAUUUUAUUUAGAUUUCACAUUCAACAUUUUGCUAACUGCUGCUGUUGUGCCUUUACAGCCACUUUAUCGUCCCUGAACUUGGUCCCAACACCAAGUUCUCCUACUCUUCCCACAAGGCUGUGAAUGAAUACAAGGAGGCUAAGGCGGUAAGAUACUAGGAUUACAUCUUACGUCUCUGUCUGGUUCAUGAUUGUUUUCUCUGCCUGACUACAUAGGCGUUGCUAACACAUUCUUAUUGUCAUUAAUGUCUUAGUUCGUAAAGUUACUUAUUAGUUUAGCGUGUUGCUUUCUGCUAUUAUAGUGCAUUUGCUUAAUAAUUUUGUCCUAGAAAAGAAAUUCUGAUGUACAUUAAAUGGCAUGCUUACCAUGAUUUUUUUUGAAGAUUGUCACUCCUUCAGAUUGAUGGCCUGUAAAUCACAUGCCCUCCAAGUGACAGUUUGUUUAAGUUCAGUGUUAAUACUCGUGUCCAAGCAAAUUUUUGGCCCCUUGUUUAGUAUUUUGAAACUAGCAAUUUCAGAUUUGCAAAGACUAAAAUUCACUUUACAUUUAUGAAAUAAUGUUUUUUUAGCACUAUAUGUUGUUUCCAUCUUUCUCAAAAGAUGUCCAUGUUGUUUGUGGCGAAAUUGUCUGAUUUUACCUAUGCUUAAUUGGUGAGUUUACCUGAAACAUGCUUUGGUUGAAUUUACUAUCUUGUUCCAGUUUGUGAAUAGUAACAUUUCUAUUUUUAAGCAUCAAAUUCUGAAUUAAGUAGUAUUCCUUCUGGAUUGAAAAUCAUAGUGUUUUCUUAAAAAUUAAGAUGUAAUCUGGUCGUUUGUAUGUCUCAUGUAAUUGUUCUUCAUGCAGCUCGGCGUUGACACCGUGCCAGUACUUGUUGGACCAGUUUCAUACUUGUUGCUCUCCAAACCUGCCAAGGGUGUAGAGAAGUCGUUCGCUCUUCUUUCCCUUCUGAGCAGCAUCCUUCCUGUCUACAAGUAAGUGUACAAACAAGUCUAUAACUGCUGCUAGCGCUAAAUCUUCAGUUCAUAAUUUGAUGCAUGAUGAUUUGUAGGGAGGUUAUUGCUGAGUUGAAGGCAGCUGGUGCUACUUGGAUUCAGUUUGAUGAACCCACACUUGUUCUUGACCUUGACUCUCACCAAUUGGCUGCAUUCUCUGCUGCAUACACAGAACUUGAGUCGGCACUUUCUGGAUUGAAUGUGCUUAUUGAGACAUACUUCGCUGACAUUCCUGCUGAAUCAUACAAGUAUGUUUAUUUCCUGUACUAUCGUAUCAUUACCAAACCCGCCUUUCCUUUAGCAUGCUUUUUCUUUUUAGUGGCAGAACACUGAUACUGCCUUUUCACUGCAGGACCCUCACAUCCCUGAACAGCGUGACUGCUUAUGGUUUUGACCUUAUCCGUGGAGCCAAGACUCUUGACCUUAUCAAGAGUGCUGGUUUCCCCUCUGGAAAGUACCUCUUUGCCGGUGUUGUGGAUGGACGCAACAUCUGGGCUGAUGAUCUCGCUGCAUCUCUCACUACCCUUGAGUCUCUUGAGGCUAUUGUUGGAAAGGGUAAGCAAUUAAGCAUGAAGUUAUUAUAUCUGUUAUAUUUUAAUAGGUACAAUUUGCUGUAUCCAAUAAUAUCCUCAAUUUCUGCACAUCCAACAAUACCUUUCAUUUCUGCAGACAAGCUUGUGGUCUCGACUUCCUGCUCACUCAUGCACACCGCUGUGGAUCUUGUAAAUGAGACCAAGCUCGAUAGCGAGAUUAAGUCAUGGCUCGCUUUUGCUGCCCAAAAGGUGGUUGAGGUGAAUGCCCUUGCUAAGGCAUUGGCUGGACAGAAGGAUGAGGUAUGGUACUCUCUUUCACCCUUUAUUUAUUCUCUCACCUCUUAGUAAGAGAUCAGGCUUAGUUCUCAAUAUUAUUCGGAGAAACUUCUGCUGCUGCUCAGGCUUACUUUUGUACAUUUGUAAACAAUAUUGUACAGGCUUACUUUGCAGCAAACGCUGCUGCUCAGGCCUCCAGGAGGUCAUCACCUCGUGUGACAAACGAGGAAGUCCAAAAGGCUGUAAGUACCUUGCGUUUUUGGCCAGCAUUUGCUGAUUUCAUAUCAACAUAACUUCACAUGUUUUUCUUAAACACAUGAUAUUGUUUGUGAAGGCUGCUGCUCUGAAGGGGUCUGACCACCGCCGUGCUACCAAUGUUAGCGCUAGACUGGACGCACAGCAGAAGAAGCUCAACCUUCCAGUCCUUCCUACAACCACAAUUGGUUCAUUCCCACAGACUGUGGAGCUCAGGAGAGUCCGCCGUGAGUACAAGGCAAAAAAGUGAGUAACAGUCCACAUCAACGCUUCACUUGUUUCCCUUCUUUCGUCUAUAUUACUCAUAGCAAAAUACUGCUACAGGAUCUCUGAGGAGGAGUACAUCAGUGCCAUCAAGGAGGAAAUCAGCAAGGUUGUUAAGAUCCAGGAAGAGCUUGACAUCGAUGUCCUUGUUCACGGCGAGCCUGAGGUCAGUAUCCUUGUGUACUGUUUGUGUUUUCUAGACUUUGCACCUGGCUGUUUGAGAAAACAAAAUAAAUAUAUUUAUUGAAGCAUUAACAAAGUUUGGUUUGUUCUGCAUUGAAGUAAGCUAAUUGGCAUGUAUUUUAUACUUUCAGAGAAACGAUAUGGUUGAGUACUUCGGUGAGCAGCUUUCUGGUUUUGCAUUCACUGCCAACGGAUGGGUGCAAUCUUAUGGAUCACGGUGUGUCAAGCCACCAAUUAUCUAUGGUGAUGUGAGCCGCCCCAACCCCAUGACUGUGUUCUGGUCCAAGUUGGCGCAGAGCAUGACCUCUCGCCCCAUGAAGGGAAUGUUGACUGGUCCCGUCACAAUCCUUAACUGGUCUUUUGUCAGGAAUGACCAGCCGAGGUCAGUGCCUGUUGUUGAUAAUGUAAUCUAAUUUGUUCUGGUUGUGAAUGAGCAUUCUUUUCUGAGUCUGACAUUCAUACGCUGGCUCAGGUUUGAGACAUGCUACCAGAUUGCUCUUGCCAUCAAGAAGGAGGUCGAGGACCUUGAGGCUGGUGGUAUUCAGGUUGGUCCUGUUCUAUAAUUUGGUUCUCAAGAGAAUCUUGCUUACGUUUUUUUAAUGGUCCUUUGCAGGUCAUCCAAAUCGAUGAGGCUGCUUUGAGAGAAGGUCUGCCACUCCGCAAGGCGGAGCAUGCUUUCUACUUGGACUGGGCUGUUCACUCCUUCAGAAUCACCAACUGCGGUGUUCAGGACACCACCCAGGUAAUUUGCCUUGAUUACACUGUCGCUGGAGCCUCGCAUUGUCAUCGCCUAUCUUCUGGAGCUAAGAAAUUUCUCUUUGACAGAUCCACACCCACAUGUGCUACUCUAACUUCAACGACAUCAUCCACUCCAUCAUCAACAUGGACGCUGAUGUGAUCACCAUCGAGAACUCCCGGUCCGACGAGAAGCUGCUCUCCGUCUUCCGCGAGGGUGUGAAGUAUGGUGCUGGCAUUGGCCCUGGUGUCUAUGACAUCCACUCCCCAAGGAUCCCGUCCACAGAGGAGAUUGCGGACCGCGUCAACAAGAUGCUCGCGGUGCUCGACACUAACAUUCUCUGGGUGAACCCUGACUGCGGUCUCAAGACCCGCAAGUACAACGAGGUCAAGCCCGCCCUUACCAACAUGGUUUCGGCCGCCAAGCUCAUCCGCACCCAGCUCGCCAGCGCGAAGUGAGGAUAUCCAUAGCUGCAAGUUCCCUUCGGUUGCGAGGACGAUGCCGUCAUAGCCAUCUGUUUUUGAAUAAUCUGGGUCCAGUGGAUCCAAUUGUCUGUGGUUAGGUUUAGUCAGUCUCGGUGGGAAGAUCCCUCAUACCCGUUUUACUUUUGAAUCAAUUUGGUGGUUUUUGAGGCAGUUUGUCGGUGUAUUUGUAUUGUGUGUAAUCUGAGUGGGAAUCAGCAGUGUUUCAUCUGCAUCUGAAUCGUUGCGGAUCAAAUUACAAAAUUUUCAAGGAGAGUUCUUGAUGUUAUGGUCUUCCAACUACCUAAGUGUUUUGUGUCAGUUGUUCACCUGAGUUGAGAGUGGUUGAUUUCUGAUGAUUCCUUGCUGGUGGAGAUCACUUUGCAUUUUAUUUAGAUAUAAAGCCAGUCACUUGAAAUAGUUAGAUGUUGGGAUUUGAACACAUUGUUGUAAGCAUGCAACAUUAGCAAACUGUUCAUGGUCAUUUCUGGUCUGGUUGCUUGGAUCAGGACAUGAAAUGGAUUGAAAGUGGAACAAAAGUAUGCUUGCAAUGAGCAGUACCAUUUUGGUUAUUGUGGUCUUUGAGUGUAUGCAUUUGCAUUGCAGGUGGUGUUAAUUUACAUGUAAAUCUCAUUAGCUUAACAAAUACUGUACUUAAUUACAUAUCACAAUUGGCAAAUUCAUGCUCUUUUUCGUCAGAGACAUGAGAAGAGUGGCUGUCUUGCUUCUUUCUAGCUACCACGGUGCGACACGGGACAUGAGUCAUGACAAGCACCGUCGUAUGGGUCCACGCAUGAAUCUAUUAAAAACCUAUUAAAAACGUUUUCUUAUAAUGUGAAACGGGUGUUCCAUCGGUUGCUCAUAUUUCCUAAUAAAUUUAAACAGCUUAUUAGGGAAUAAAAAUUAUUUUAUACAUAAAACUUUUAUAUAUUUGUUCGUAGCGAAUUAAAAGUCAAUGAUAAAAAAAAUUACGUUAAAAAUAUCUCAAAAAUCAAUUUCCAAAUCAAGUUGAAAAUUUUAAAUUUUGGUUUAUUAGGCGAACCGACGGGGGUUUAUUGGAUCAUGACAUGUUUCAGCGUGUGGCCUUGACAAAGAUAGUGAUGUGCAAGUAGAAAAUCCAUGGAAAUUAUCGACGAGUUUUUAGUUUUGACCCCAGCACAGAGAUGAUUGGCUCUAUCUACUACUCCAUCUUUGGUGAAUCACAGCCAUAAUAAUUUUUUUUUCUGUUCAAAAUCUGAAUUUUGUGACUGCACUCCCAUUUUCACCCAAGUAAGUGUGAACUUCCCCUGAUUGCAACCUUGAAAAAAUGAAGUGCAUAUGCAUAGAGUCAGAAUAACAUUUCAUUAUCCACCAACCCCCAUGGGAGUUAGGAGCGCCUAACAUUUCUUCUUCUUUGAUAUCCACCAACCCCCAUGGCCCCACAUAAGUAAGCAUCAUUGAUCAACUCCCCUCUACCAUGACAUGAACACAUAAACUCCUGCCUAAUAUUCUCAACAAAAUGGACUUCCCAUGAUACAAAAAUACUCAACUUCAUGCAUGCAAAAUGAGGAGAUAUUUGCAGCUAAGGUGACCCCAUCAUGGUUGUUAAGAGUAGGAGGAGCACCAAUUGAAGGAUUUCAAGUAUAUUCCAUGUUCAUUCUUGAUUGGCACGAUCUAAUCAAGAUUCCAGUAGUUUCAAAAAAGAAAAAAAAAGAAAAUCAAGAUUCCAGUGAAGCACUUUAAAUUUCCACUACUCCUACUGCUCCAGUCUCCACAUGGUUUGCAUUGAGUUCUAAGAUAGUCAGUGCUCAGUACCAUGUUGUAUAUGAUGAACAUUCAUUUGCAUUUGGAGUUGGACAAAAGGAGUUCUGCAAAUGUAAACUGAGUUUCAGACUUUUUAUACAUUUCUGAUUUCAGUAACAUUGCAUCUACAGCAUAAACGAUCUGCUUAACUUUAUGGCUAACUUUAUACAUUGGUUGGCUAAACUCUUGUUAGAGUACUUCCUAAGUGGGAUUUGGUAUAAGUAAAGGUUCAUUGAAUCCAGACAUAUUGCAGACUAUCCCAGAUCGACAAAAAACUGUGGCUUGAAAGUUCAGUCACACCUCAUCUCAAGAAAAUUUCCUCUCCAAGCUCUUCUCAGGAUUCAUCAAAAGUUGGUUAAUUUACUGAACCCAAAGCCAGACACAAUUUUAUUUUUUCAAGGAGCUUGGAUCCAACACUGAUGUGAUUAAAAAACCCCAAACCUGGAUCAAAUAAAUCUUGUACUACUACAAUAGUACUCUACUGUACUAGUACUGCAACUACAAACAAGACACAUGAAGACAAUGUCACGUGAAGAUCUGCCAUUGGUCCGUGCUGCCUCCAAUGGCGAUAAAAAACUGUUUACUUUGUCGGUAACUGUAAUUAGCGACUGAUAAUUCGUGUUUACUUAUUAUAAGCUUGAGGCUCUAUAUGUUGCAGGACAGCAUGGACAGCAAUCAUGCAAGAACGUGCUAUCACAGUCAGUACUCACAGCCUCUUGUCCCUUUCUAUGGGAAUAUAAUAGUCCCUUCAAUUCUUUUUCUUAAUUUUUCUCCUCUAAAAUGAAUGACUGAAUUGUCUAAAUUAAGUUGUAUGCGAGAUUGUUUGUGCAGCAUUUUAAGGUAGACUAUAGUGGAGAAUUUGUUGGUGUUCAGUUUUCUCUUUUGAGAAAUAGUGUCAUCAGUAUGUUUUACUAGCUUGUACCCAAAAUUUCCCUACUUCCUUAUUUAUCAUUUAAAAUUGUCUCUUCCACUGUGUUUUCAUAAUUUUAAGAGGGUGGGUAGACAGGAAUCAAAGUGGUAAAGAGCUUUAGUAAAAUGUCUAGAUCCCUCACAGAUUCCUUCACAAAUUAUUCAAGAGGACUGAAUUCUCUGGAUACAAAAUAUUUCUUUGUUGAUCGUAUCUCAUAUCACAAUCCAUUGGAAAAGAUGGAGGGUAAUUCCAAAGGAAAAGUGUAUACUGGACUAAACUAAAUUAAACAAUUUUUAAACUUCACACAAAAUGAAACUAUGACAACCGUGCAAGAGCCUCCAGGCCACCAUCUCACCAACCACAGCCUCUCUCACCAACUCUGCUCCUCCAAUUGUUAAUUUAAGGAGAGAAUGACUUUUCUUUUAGCUAAUAACUAUACUAAUACUAUAUUUGUGCUCAAUAAUUACGUGACUUUCGGCACUAAAAAAAUGGAGUUACAUUUGUACAUGUAUAGCUAGCUAGCAUUAGCCCAUAAUACGAUGUGGUAAACCAUUAUUUAAUUUAGUCGUCAUGCCUCAUCAUGCAUAAACGUGGAAAAGGCAGACAAACUUUCUCAAAGGCAGCUUUUUUUGUUUUUGGUGGAAACACAAUUGGCUUGAGUUGGGUACAUGAUCAUAGCUACACACAGAAAAAAAAACUUCUGAAAUAAUCAGAUAUGUAAACCUUAGCUAACAAUAAACAAUUAUUUUUGAACAGCUUGGUCAGAAUAUAUUUUCAAACAACAGUAAUGAAAAACAGGUCAAACUUACAACAAAUAAUAUGAAAAAUAUUUCUCCAUUUUCUUGAGAAAACAAAUCAAAUCACAACCCACAUGUAUAUUUGAAACUACUAUUAAAAAUGGAUAUUUUAGCCACCGAGAUAUUACAUAAUAAUUUCUAAAUUAGUUUUCUAUGCGGCAAGAGAUGAGGAUCAUAAUCAUUAAAAGUAUGCAUAUUAUGAUACUAUGUUAAGUGGAACAAGUCCUAAUUUGUAGUGAUCCAUCAUUUAACCUGGACAAUUAAUCUCUACCCACACUAAAAUGGUGCAAGCUUAGCUACACAUCAUACACAGAAAAACACAAUAUUGCACAAUCUAGAGAUGCCGUAGACUCGAAUAGUCAUUUUCCAUGUAAAUAUGAUAUUAUAAUUAACUCAUGCGUAGGCUAAUGUAGCAAUAGGGAUAUGGACAUUGUCAAAAGUGGUUUAAAAGAAGGUUAAUUAUGAUGAUAUGUGGUAACUGGAGCACGACCUAAUUUACGGUGAUCAUCCAUAACUUAACAUUGACAAUUACUCUUACCGACAAUAAAAAAAGGUUCAUGACUAAUGAAAUACUACCAGAUUUGAGUAUUGUACUGCACAAGCUGGUGUACUUGCACGACACAAACUUGUUUUCAGAUAAAUAUCCCAUACUGCAAUACUUUUGAAUACAUAUUUUUGUAAAUGGAGAUGUCAUUGGAGCGGUCCGAAGAACUAUGAUGACAUGGUAACUCAAGUACGACCUAAUUUACAGUGAUCAUCCAUAACUUAACAUUGACAAUCAAUCUUACGGUCUUACCAACACUAAAAAGGCUCAUGGUGAAAUGAAAUGCUACCAUAUUUGAGUAUUUGACAUGGGACACCCCAUACCAACUUGUUUUUAGGGGGAAAAUAAAUAUUUAGGACUGGUUUUGUCUGGGGCUUGACCUUAACAAUUUUUGCUAAUGUUAAAUUUCGGCAUAGCCUCUUUUGACAAUGUAAUACUAUUAAAAAUACCAAAUAUUUGUAAGGCCAAUUUAGGCCACAAAUGAAACCAACCUGAAUCUCUUUUAUUAAUAUAUUCUUAUUCUAUAUCCUUUAUAAAUGAAUUUCCCUAAAAAAUUAGCCCCAAUCCUAUAUGCUUAAUCCAUAAAUUAUUCUAACCAUCAACUAAAAAAACCCUAAAAAAGUUUAUUCUUGCAAUUGCUCAUGAUACCCUCUUGUAGCUCAUAGGUAUAUUUUUUCUAAAGUUCAAUAUUGUCGACGAGUGAUACUCGCGGACCGGAUGAGUAGAGUAUUGGGGUACGUUGGAACGAGGGUUUACAUAGUACGACAUCAAAGCAGACAAAAGGCAAGGAUUAUACUGGUUCAGACCCUUAUCAGGUAAUAGCCCUAGUCCAGUUUAUAUGGGAUUGAUGAUGAUGAGAACAGAUUACAAAGAGAGUAGUCAAAACAGAUGAUACCGACGAGAUCGUAGUCGAGGGUUUCGACGAGAUCUCUCGGCAAGUUGGCUCCGCGUACUCCAGCUUCGUAAGCUUUGGUGGGUGUGUUGGCGAAGAGAUUCUGAUCCGAACCUCUCCCAAGGGGUCCCCUUUUAUACCGUGAGUCAUCUUGAUCCCCAAGAAAGGUUUUGAGGAUAUCGGACCUGGGACGGUCUAACGGAAACUUUAUCCCUUACGAGUAGAACUUUAUAAAUCACUUGACUCGUAAAGAUAUUUUCCUUAAUUUGAAGUAACUUCCAUACGACAUAUAUGUAAAUAAUCCGUAUACGUAAAGGUAUACCAUAUUGGUAUAUUUCACAAGUCGCAGGAUAGAAGGUAUGCCUUAUCCGUAACCCUGACAAAUAUCCCUCUUACUAACUAGAAAUAAAAUAAUUAGUUCAAACUCCCAAAAUGGUGCUAUCUAUAUAGACACUAUAUAUAUUACCAUUUGCAAAAAAAAAAAGAAGAAGAAGAAGAAGAAGAAAAAUAUUCCCUUCAUUUUUAUCUAGUUGACGCGGGUUAGUUCCAUUUUGCACUAACCAACAUCAAAUUUUUUAAAAAGGAGGGAUUGUAUAUUAUCACAAUAGUUUUUAAUACAUACAUGGGAAAGGCCAAAAGUCGCAUAACAACAAAAGGGUAAAUGUGCUUUUCAUCGAAGAAAAAGAAGUUCAAAAUCUACCCUUAGUCCAAAUGAUCAUGACAAACAAAAUAGGACAUAAUCCCUGCGGUUCCAUAAUUCUUGACGUCCUUACCAAUAACACAGGGCAUCAUUUUUUCGCUUAUGCUUAUAUUUAUCAGCCAAAAUUUGAAUUUUCAACCUUAAAUUUGGAGCUGAUUUUAAGGAUUUUUUUUUAUCGAAGUUUAUUUUUCAGCUUUUGCUUUUAGAUCGCUAAGAACGCACAUAUAAAAAUUUUAUUCACAUACUACUUUUCGUUUGCAAAUAUGCCAUUUCGCUUAUUCCGAGAAUAAGUGAAACAAUGGCUCCAAUAGUCUUUAAAAUAUAUCUUUGAUUAUGUUUUUAUCUUAAAUAUAUAUACAUAUAUAAUAAAUAAAUAUAAUUUUACUUUUAUCAUAAUAUUUUUGAAAAAUAAAUAUCUCUAUGUAUAUUGUUCUAUUAUAUUUAUAAACUAAAUACUUUUAAAUUAUUUGUACUUCUAAUUAAAUUUAUAAAAGUUUCACCUCGACCGAAUUAUGAAACCGUUGCGAGUAUAAGAGAAAACACAAUCUUAACAAAACAUUAAGAUGAAAAGGAUGAAACUUUUCAUCUUAAAAAACCGUGCACAAAACACAAUCCUAAUAAGUACUUCAUUCGUUUUAUAUUAUAAGACUUUCUACCAUUUCUUUUAUUUAUAUAGAUGUUAAUGAAUUUAUACGUAAUAUGAAACGGAAUGAAGUAGUAAAACAUUCAGAUGAAAAAGAUGAAACUUUUCAUCUGAAAAACCGUGCACCACCAGAUGAGCCUCUGCUUUCAGAUCUCACCAACCAACCAAAAAAAAAAAUCUCCUCUCUUCUUAUAUAAAUAAGGAACUCUCCCAAACCCCUCUUCUCCGUCCUCCUCCUCCUCCUCCCUCGCCGUCCGCCGCCGCCGCUCGCUUCCUCCCCUCUCCCACGGUAAGCCCGCGCCGCCGCUCUCUCCCUCUCCUCCGUCACCCUUCCCUUCCUCCGAAUCGGCCGAGUCUGUCAGCGACGGAGACCGCGCCGGGAUCCGUGCCCAUUCGCGUAGUAGCGGCGAGCGACGGUUUUUUUUUUUUUUGCCUGCAAAGUCGGUCGCUUUCGUGUGGCGUCGGGUCGGGGAGAAUGGAUCGAUCUGUUCGUCUUGAUCGGAUGGAUUGAUCGAUCAAUCGAUCUUGGUGGGAUCCGAUCUGAAUGAGGUUUUUGGGUUAGGAAAUGGAGUGAAAGAUUGGACUUUUUUUUUUGUCGGUGUGUUGCACGGUUCGUUUAGGAUUGGAUCUGUGUUUUCUUCCGUGGAAAAUCUUCCAUUUUUCACUGCAAGUGCACAUUUGUGGCCUCUUCAGUACUUGUGUUUCUAAACCCGGGGGGUUUUUGGAUCUGACACCGAGGUUUAGUCCGUGUUGUCAUAUGUUUUUUCUCAAAUUCUGUUACGAUAUUCUCCUAUUAUAAAUGCAUUACGGUGUACUAGACCCUGUGAUCUGUGGAGUACAUGUUAAGGUCGUGCUUCCAGUACCAUCGCAUCUACUGUCAUUUGGUUGCCAUCUCGUAUUAUUUGGUUAGGAAUUUGCAAUUGCCUGCAUGCUAAUAAAUGAAUUGUUGUUUGUAUGGCAUGCCAAACAAGAUCCAACUACUUUGCUGCUGGUGUGAGAGGGACAGUGUCUCCCACCAAUUGUAGUUGGUCUUAUGUACCCACCACUUUGGGCUGGGUCCUACUACAUGCUAGUGCUGGUUGGUGGUGUACCUAACCCAUAUACUAGUAUCAGUUUAGUCUAUUCUUUUAGCACCACUGGAUCUGGUGAUAUAGCCCCAUGUAUAGGAAUCAGGAAGAUUAGUAGAACAGAAAACACAAAAGUAUGCUUUAAUAGUUGGAUGGCAUAUACCUUUAUUCGGAUCACCGUUCCAAAUGUGACGUUAGUAUCCGUUAGUGGCAUGCUUUUUAAUCUAACAAGGCGUUCUUCAUCGUGUGGUUAGCAUAUGGAUAUGUGUAAUCUUGUUAGCUAAAUCAUAAUUUUCGUAUGUAUUCACAUGACAUUUCGAUGAAUCAAACUGAUCGUAGUACAAUUGUUUCUAUAGAAAGAUGGCGUCUCACAUUGUUGGAUACCCCCGCAUGGGCCCCAAGAGGGAGCUCAAGUUUGCCCUGGAGUCUUUCUGGGAUGGGAAGAGCAGCGCUGAGGAUUUGGAGAAGGUUGCGACCGACCUCAGGGCCAGCAUCUGGAAGCAAAUGGCUGACGCUGGGAUCAAGUAUAUCCCCAGCAACACCUUCUCGUACUAUGAUCAGGUUCUUGACACGACCGCCAUGCUUGGUGCUGUCCCAGAGCGCUACUCAUGGACCGGUGGAGAGAUUGGGUUCAGCACCUACUUCUCGAUGGCUAGGGGAAAUGCCACUGUCCCUGCUAUGGAGAUGACCAAGUGGUUUGACACCAACU
RNAcentral lists this long non-coding RNA (12112 nucleotides) under Oryza sativa (Asian cultivated rice). RNAcentral's name for it is "long non-coding RNA (OSAT_LNC000225)". The record is from RNAcentral. Lineage: Eukaryota; Viridiplantae; Streptophyta; Magnoliopsida; Poales; Poaceae.